Molecule: transfer RNA, 88 nt
Filed under: Methanothermococcus okinawensis IH1
Lineage: Archaea; Methanobacteriati; Methanobacteriota; Methanococci; Methanococcales; Methanococcaceae
Description: tRNA-Sec
Source: RNAcentral
GGCGCUGGGGGGGGAAUCGAACCCCGAGUUCAAACGAACUUGACGGAUCUGAAGUCCGCCCUGUGUCACCAGACACAGCACCCCGCGC